GACGAACGCUGGCGGCGUGCCUAAUACAUGCAAGUCGAACGAACCGCGACUGAGUGCUUGCACUUGGUCAAGGUGAGUGGCGAACGGGUGAGUAACACGUGGGUAACCUACCUCAUAGUGGGGGAUAACAGUCGGAAACGACUGCUAAUACCGCAUAGGACAUAGGAUCACAUGAUCCAGUGAGGAAAGGUGGCGCAAGCUAUCGCUAAGAGAUGGACCCGCGGUGCAUUAGCUAGUUGGUAGGGUAAAGGCCUACCAAGGCGAUGAUGCAUAGCCGACCUGAGAGGGUGAUCGGCCACAUUGGGACUGAGACACGGCCCAAACUCCUACGGGAGGCAGCAGUAGGGAAUCUUCCGCAAUGGACGCAAGUCUGACGGAGCAACGCCGCGUGAGUGAAGAAGGUGUUCGGAUCGUAAAGCUCUGUUGUUAGAGAAGAACAGCGCAUAGAGUAACUGCUAUGCGUGUGACGGUAUCUAAACAGAAAGCCACGGCUAACUACGCG
Molecule: ribosomal RNA, 502 nt
Filed under: uncultured bacterium
Lineage: Bacteria
Description: partial 16S ribosomal RNA
Rfam family: Bacterial small subunit ribosomal RNA
Source: RNAcentral